GCUAGGGGACGGUUCGGUUCCGUGUCGAUGAAGGACGUACGGAAUUACAAAAGUGGUUGGAAAUGGCAGGAUUUCGGGAGCCAAGGAAUAUCGGAAGCCAUGUUCUUCCUUUCCCAGCUUUGGGGUGCCAAGGGGGGGUUGGGCA
RNAcentral lists this ribosomal RNA (145 nucleotides) under Caulerpa sp. CSMCRI 02122010001. RNAcentral describes it as "5.8S ribosomal RNA". The record is from RNAcentral. Lineage: Eukaryota; Viridiplantae; Chlorophyta; Ulvophyceae; Bryopsidales; Caulerpaceae.